Molecule: long non-coding RNA, 147 nt
Organism: Xiphophorus hellerii (green swordtail)
Lineage: Eukaryota; Metazoa; Chordata; Actinopteri; Cyprinodontiformes; Poeciliidae
Exons: 4
Source: RefSeq, a predicted model, not a curated record
UCUUUAAAUCUCCUCAUUUUCCACCAGCAGCGAGUUUUCACGGUGACUGUGGUGACGAAUCACCAGAAGAAAAAUAAAAACGCUAAAUUCACCCGUCGAGACUGGCUGGAUAAAUUCAACUGCUGGGGAGCUGCUACAAAAAUAAUA